UCAUGUGGAAACGUUGGUAAAUUAUUAAAGUAUAUUUUUAGUAUCGUGGUGACGAGUGUGCGACAACCUUCCUUCACAGACUAGCAGAAGAGAAACAUGAUUAGUUUCUAUACAAAAAUCCAUUUUUGGCCUUCAGUUUGCUUGAUAGGUGUUCCACAUGGGUCUGAAAAUGGGUCGAGUCACCCCCACCCUGACAGUGCUGCCCCCCUCCAGCGAGGAGCUGCAGCAGGGGGAGGCCACGCUCGUGUGUCUGGCCAACAAGGCCUACCCCUCAGACUGGAGUCUGGCCUGGAAGGUGGACGGCAGCAGCAGCAGCUUGGAGCAGAGCAGGAGCCCCGGGGUGCUGCAGAAUGAUGGCCGCUACAGCUGGAGCAGCACCCUGAGGCUCCCUGCAGACCAGUGGAGGAAGGUGGGCUCUGUGACCUGUGAGGCCACCCAGGGCUCCCAGACUCCAGUCUCAGAGACACUG
Thunnus maccoyii (southern bluefin tuna) is the source of this 469-nucleotide non-coding RNA. The record is from the annotation of a RefSeq genome assembly. NCBI's taxonomy places the organism in Eukaryota, Metazoa, Chordata, Actinopteri, Scombriformes, Scombridae.